RNAcentral lists this transfer RNA (71 nucleotides) under Saccoglossus kowalevskii. RNAcentral's name for it is "tRNA-Thr". It matches the Rfam family "tRNA". From Rfam's summary of the family: Transfer RNA (tRNA) molecules are approximately 80 nucleotides in length. Their secondary structure includes four short double-helical elements and three loops (D, anti-codon, and T loops). The record is from RNAcentral. Lineage: Eukaryota; Metazoa; Hemichordata; Enteropneusta; Harrimaniidae.
GCCUCAGUGGCCAAGUGGUAAUGCGUCGGUCUCGUAAAUCGAGAUCAUGGGUUCGAACCCCAUCUGAGGCU